RNAcentral lists this transfer RNA (82 nucleotides) under Thylamys elegans (elegant fat-tailed opossum). RNAcentral describes it as "transfer RNA-Cys". The stretch from base 1 to 71 matches the Rfam family "tRNA". Rfam says of the family: Transfer RNA (tRNA) molecules are approximately 80 nucleotides in length. Their secondary structure includes four short double-helical elements and three loops (D, anti-codon, and T loops). Further hydrogen bonds mediate the characteristic L-shaped molecular structure. tRNAs have two regions of fundamental functional importance: the anti-codon, which is responsible for specific mRNA codon recognition, and the 3' end, to which the tRNAs corresponding amino acid is attached (by aminoacyl-tRNA synthetases). tRNAs cope with the degeneracy of the genetic code in two manners: having more than one tRNA (with a specific anti-codon) for a particular amino acid; and 'wobble' base-pairing, i.e. permitting non-standard base-pairing at the 3rd anti-codon position. Lineage: Eukaryota; Metazoa; Chordata; Mammalia; Didelphimorphia; Didelphidae. The record is from RNAcentral.
GGCUUUGAAGUAUAAUAAUAAUACAUUGAAUUGCAAAUUCAAAAAAGUAGUUGAAUAUCUCUACCAAAGUCUAAGUGUUAAC